Molecule: ribosomal RNA, 3010 nt
Filed under: Salmonella enterica subsp. enterica serovar Typhimurium str. USDA-ARS-USMARC-1810
Lineage: Bacteria; Pseudomonadati; Pseudomonadota; Gammaproteobacteria; Enterobacterales; Enterobacteriaceae
Description: bacterial LSU rRNA
Rfam family: Bacterial large subunit ribosomal RNA
Source: RNAcentral
GGGUUGUGAGGUUAAGCGACUAAGCGUACACGGUGGAUGCCCUGGCAGUCAGAGGCGAUGAAGGACGUGCUAAUCUGCGAUAAGCGCCGGUAAGGUGAUAUGAACCGUUAUAACCGGCGAUUUCCGAAUGGGGAAACCCAGUGUGAUUCGUCACACUAUCAUUAACUGAAUCCAUAGGUUAAUGAGGCGAACCGGGGGAACUGAAACAUCUAAGUACCCCGAGGAAAAGAAAUCAACCGAGAUUCCCCAGUAGCGGCGAGCGAACGGGGAGGAGCCCAGAGCCUGAAUCAGCAUGUGUGUUAGUGGAAGCGUCUGGAAAGGCGCGCGAUACAGGGUGACAGCCCCGUACACAAAAGCGCAUGUGCUGUGAGCUCGAUGAGUAGGGCGGGACACGUGGUAUCCUGUCUGAAUAUGGGGGGACCAUCCUCCAAGGCUAAAUACUCCUGACUGACCGAUAGUGAACCAGUACCGUGAGGGAAAGGCGAAAAGAACCCCGGCGAGGGGAGUGAAAAAGAACCUGAAACCGUGUACGUACAAGCAGUGGGAGCACCCUUCGGGGUGUGACUGCGUACCUUUUGUAUAAUGGGUCAGCGACUUAUAUUCUGUAGCAAGGUUAACCGUAUAGGGGAGCCGGAGGGAAACCGAGUCUUAAUUGGGCGUUAAGUUGCAGGGUAUAGACCCGAAACCCGGUGAUCUAGCCAUGGGCAGGUUGAAGGUUGGGUAACACUAACUGGAGGACCGAACCGACUAAUGUUGAAAAAUUAGCGGAUGACCUGUGGCUGGGGGUGAAAGGCCAAUCAAACCGGGAGAUAGCUGGUUCUCCCCGAAAGCUAUUUAGGUAGCGCCUCGUGAAUUCAUCUCCGGGGGUAGAGCACUGUUUCGGCUAGGGGGCCAUCCCGGCUUACCAACCCGAUGCAAACUGCGAAUACCGGAGAAUGUUAUCACGGGAGACACACGGCGGGUGCUAACGUCCGUCGUGAAGAGGGAAACAACCCAGACCGCCAGCUAAGGUCCCAAAGUCAUGGUUAAGUGGGAAACGAUGUGGGAAGGCCCAGACAGCCAGGAUGUUGGCUUAGAAGCAGCCAUCAUUUAAAGAAAGCGUAAUAGCUCACUGGUCGAGUCGGCCUGCGCGGAAGAUGUAACGGGGCUAAACCAUGCACCGAAGCUGCGGCAGCGAACGUAUCACCCAAGACAACUUUACGGAGUUGACGAUUGACGGAGCGAAGCGACGUCAAAGCGUUCAUUAAAGUCGAGUUGGCUUAGGGAUACGUUCGUUGGGUAGGGGAGCGUUCUGUAAGCCUGUGAAGGUGUGUCGUGAGGCAUGCUGGAGGUAUCAGAAGUGCGAAUGCUGACAUAAGUAACGAUAAAGCGGGUGAAAAGCCCGCUCGCCGGAAGACCAAGGGUUCCUGUCCAACGUUAAUCGGGGCAGGGUGAGUCGACCCCUAAGGCGAGGCCGAAAGGCGUAGUCGAUGGGAAACGGGUUAAUAUUCCCGUACUUGGUGUUACUGCGAAGGGGGGACGGAGAAGGCUAUGUUGGCCGGGCGACGGUUGUCCCGGUUUAAGCGUGUAGGUGUGUGUUCCAGGUAAAUCCGGUUCACUUUAACACUGAGGCGUGACGACGAGGCACUACGGUGCUGAAGCAACAAAUGCCCUGCUUCCAGGAAAAGCCUCUAAGCAUCAGGUAACACGAAAUCGUACCCCAAACCGACACAGGUGGUCAGGUAGAGAAUACCAAGGCGCUUGAGAGAACUCGGGUGAAGGAACUAGGCAAAAUGGUGCCGUAACUUCGGGAGAAGGCACGCUGACACGUAGGUGAAGUGAUUUACUCAUGGAGCUGAAGUCAGUCGAAGAUACCAGCUGGCUGCAACUGUUUAUUAAAAACACAGCACUGUGCAAACACGAAAGUGGACGUAUACGGUGUGACGCCUGCCCGGUGCCGGAAGGUUAAUUGAUGGGGUCAGCGUAAGCGAAGCUCCUGAUCGAAGCCCCGGUAAACGGCGGCCGUAACUAUAACGGUCCUAAGGUAGCGAAAUUCCUUGUCGGGUAAGUUCCGACCUGCACGAAUGGCGUAAUGAUGGCCAGGCUGUCUCCACCCGAGACUCAGUGAAAUUGAACUCGCUGUGAAGAUGCAGUGUACCCGCGGCAAGACGGAAAGACCCCGUGAACCUUUACUAUAGCUUGACACUGAACAUUGAGCCUUGAUGUGUAGGAUAGGUGGGAGGCUUUGAAGUGUGGACGCCAGUCUGCAUGGAGCCGACCUUGAAAUACCACCCUUUAAUGUUUGAUGUUCUAACGUGGACCCGUAAUCCGGGUUGCGGACAGUGUCUGGUGGGUAGUUUGACUGGGGCGGUCUCCUCCUAAAGAGUAACGGAGGAGCACGAAGGUUGGCUAAUCCUGGUCGGACAUCAGGAGGUUAGUGCAAUGGCAUAAGCCAGCUUGACUGCGAGCGUGACGGCGCGAGCAGGUGCGAAAGCAGGUCAUAGUGAUCCGGUGGUUCUGAAUGGAAGGGCCAUCGCUCAACGGAUAAAAGGUACUCCGGGGAUAACAGGCUGAUACCGCCCAAGAGUUCAUAUCGACGGCGGUGUUUGGCACCUCGAUGUCGGCUCAUCACAUCCUGGGGCUGAAGUAGGUCCCAAGGGUAUGGCUGUUCGCCAUUUAAAGUGGUACGCGAGCUGGGUUUAGAACGUCGUGAGACAGUUCGGUCCCUAUCUGCCGUGGGCGCUGGAGAACUGAGGGGGGCUGCUCCUAGUACGAGAGGACCGGAGUGGACGCAUCACUGGUGUUCGGGUUGUCAUGCCAAUGGCACUGCCCGGUAGCUAAAUGCGGAAGAGAUAAGUGCUGAAAGCAUCUAAGCACGAAACUUGCCCCGAGAUGAGUUCUCCCUGAGACUUAGAGUCUCCUGAAGGAACGUUGAAGACGACGACGUUGAUAGGCCGGGUGUGUAAGCGCAGCGAUGCGUUGAGCUAACCGGUACUAAUGAACCGUGAGGCUUAACCUUACAACGCCGAAG